GGUCCCAUCGUCUAGUCCGGUCUAGGACGUGGCCCUCUCAAGGCUAAAACACGGGUUCGAAUCCCGUUGGGACCGCCA
RNAcentral lists this transfer RNA (78 nucleotides) under Nitrospirota bacterium. RNAcentral describes it as "Nitrospirae bacterium (groundwater metagenome) tRNA-Glu". It matches the Rfam family "tRNA". From Rfam's summary of the family: Transfer RNA (tRNA) molecules are approximately 80 nucleotides in length. Their secondary structure includes four short double-helical elements and three loops (D, anti-codon, and T loops). Lineage: Bacteria; Pseudomonadati; Nitrospirota. The record is from RNAcentral.